Molecule: transfer RNA, 64 nt
Filed under: Caenis robusta
Lineage: Eukaryota; Metazoa; Arthropoda; Insecta; Ephemeroptera; Caenidae
Description: tRNA-Gly
Source: RNAcentral
AUUUAUUUAGUAUAAAAAGUAUAUCUGACUUCCAAUCAGAGGGUCUAUAAUUAUAGAAUAAGUA